AGGCAAGCACUCUACCCACUGAGCUAUAUCCCCAGCCAAAGGUGAUACAACACCAAGCACAGUGACUGGGCUCCAAAGCCAGCAAAUGAUUGGUGCAUGGCACUUAUUGCAGGCCUGGACACAGCUGGCAUUCAAUCAUUUCCAAAACAUUCUGAAGGCAAGUGAACAUGUUUGAACUUCAUAUAUGCCUCAACAGGAAAGCUACAGUCCUGAGGCAUGGUUGUCUGCUGAGGACAGAACAGUCAAGGAGUCAAAGACUAACAAGGAUCCCAGCCCUCCUGAGCAGUGGGUACAAGUAUAAACAGCAAUAGUAAAAUUUUCUGCCAACAA
Molecule: non-coding RNA, 330 nt
Organism: Marmota flaviventris (yellow-bellied marmot)
Lineage: Eukaryota; Metazoa; Chordata; Mammalia; Rodentia; Sciuridae
Source: RefSeq, a predicted model, not a curated record